Molecule: ribosomal RNA, 558 nt
Filed under: uncultured bacterium
Lineage: Bacteria
Description: partial 16S ribosomal RNA
Rfam family: Bacterial small subunit ribosomal RNA
Source: RNAcentral
UAGGGAAUCUUCCACAAUGGACGCAAGUCUGAUGGAGCAACGCCGCGUGAGUGAAGAAGGUUUUCGGACCGUAAAGCUCUGUUGUUGGUGAAGAAGGAUAGAGGUAGUAACUGGCCUUUAUUUGACGGUAAUCAACCAGAAAGUCACGGCUAACUACGUGCCAGCAGCCGCGGUAAUACGUAGGUGGCAAGCGUUGUCCGGAUUUAUUGGGCGUAAAGCGAGCGCAGGCGGAAGAAUAAGUCUGAUGUGAAAGCCCUCGGCUUAACCGAGGAAUUGCAUCGGAAACUGUUUUUCUUGAGUGCAGAAGAGGAGAGUAGAAACUCCAUGUGUAGCGGUGGAAUGCGUAGAUAUAUGGAAGAAUACCAGUGGCGAAGGCGGCUCUCUGGUCUGCAACUGACGCUGAGGCUCGAAAGCAUGGGUAGCGAACAGGAUUAGAUACCCUGGUAGUCCAUGCCGUAAACGAUGAGUGCUAGGUGUUGGAUCCUUUUCCGGGGAUUCAGUGCCGCAGCUAACGCAUUAAGCACUCCGCCUGGGGGAGUACGACCGCAAGGUUGAAAC